RNAcentral lists this ribosomal RNA (157 nucleotides) under Wallemia sebi. Its description in RNAcentral is "5.8S ribosomal RNA". It matches the Rfam family "5.8S ribosomal RNA". Rfam says of the family: 5.8S ribosomal RNA (5.8S rRNA) is a component of the large subunit of the eukaryotic ribosome. It is transcribed by RNA polymerase I as part of the 45S precursor that also contains 18S and 28S rRNA. Functionally, it is thought that 5.8S rRNA may be involved in ribosome translocation. Lineage: Eukaryota; Fungi; Basidiomycota; Wallemiomycetes; Wallemiales; Wallemiaceae. The record is from RNAcentral.
AAACUUUCAGCAACGGAUCUCUUGGUUCAGGCAUCGAUGAAGAACGCAGCGAAAUGCGAUAAGUAAUGUGAAUUGCAGAUACAGUGAAUCAUCGAAUCUUUGAACGCAAAUGGCACUCUAUGGUAUUCCGUAGAGUACGUCUGUUUGAGCGUCGCGA